This 440-nucleotide ribosomal RNA is filed under the name uncultured bacterium. RNAcentral's name for it is "partial 16S ribosomal RNA". It matches the Rfam family "Bacterial small subunit ribosomal RNA", at positions 338 to 795 of the family's 1533-position model. The record is from RNAcentral.
CCUACGGGAGGCAGCAGUGGGGAAUAUUGCACAAUGGGGGAAACCCUGAUGCAGCGACGCCGCGUGAGUGAAGAAGUACUUCGUUACGUAAAGCUCUAUCAGCAGGGACGAAAAUGACGGUCCCUGAGUAAGUAGCACCGGCUAACUACGUGCCAGCAGCCGCGGUCAUACGGAGGGGGCCAGCGUUAUACGGAUUUUCUGGGUGUAAAGGGGGUGUAGAGGGUGUGCCAAGUCUGAAGUGAAAUGCAGCAGCUUAACUGCGGAACUGCUUUGGAAACUGGCGAACUAGAGUGCGGGAGGGGUAAGCGGAAUGCGUGGUGUAGCGGUGAAAUGCAGAGAUAUCAGGAAGAACACCGAUGGCGAAGGCAGCUUACUGGAGCGUAACUGACGUUGAUGCUCGAAAGCGUGGGGAGCAAACAGGAUUAGAUACCCGAGUAGUC